AAAAUGAAUGAAUCUAAACUUGAAAUGCAUCUAUAUACAUCUGUAUGUGGUUCAUAGUGAAAUCUCUACAAAGACUUAUAUUUAGGAACGGAGGGAGUACAUCCUUUUUGCAUCUCUGUCAACAAUAUUAUAACAAUCUGAUCUGAAAAGCGAGAAGUAACGCAACAACUUUGAGUCAGAACGGUGAGGCCAAUAGUAUUGUUUUAUGCAUCGUGUCAUCCCCUCCAGAGCCAAUAAUUGACUUGUAUAUAUGCUGUGGAAAUAGUUGUGGCCAUAUGCUGUUAACUUGUUGGGCAUCAUCACAUUUGUUUUCUUUAGUGGGAGACUGUUGCUGUCACAAGUGCACCGGAAGAGGUCCGCCUGUACUUUUUAGGUAGUCUUUUGUGUGGGGAUGGAAGCUGAGUUCUUGCCAUCUUGCUGCUUUCCCUGUGUUUGCGCAAGUGUGGUUGUGGUGGUGAUGAUGUUAGCAUUGGGAUGCUUUUCAUUGGGAUGGAAUGGAUAGAGCUUACAUUUGAUACUGGGUCAACUUGAUGAGGAUAGAAAAGGAGAGGCACCUAGGCUCCCUUCCACAUAGUUAACCAUAUCUGCAGGGGGCAGUACCAACAUGCGUCGCCCUCGCCCAGAUAUGCAGAUCUAUGUGCAUUUUCAAAGCGCAAUUUAUCAGGGACCCGUUUGGUAUCUUGUUCCUUUGUUGUUUGUCCACUCUUCUCCUGUGUUCUAUUUGGUCAUCACUACCAGGGGUGGUUCCUGAUCACUGCUUUUUCUCUGGCCUCAACAGGGAACACAUCGCUUGUUCGCAGCUGUUGCAAGUGCUCUGCUGAUCUCAUUCCAGGGAAGGCUGCCCAAGCACCCCAAACUGAUUAGACAUAGAUAUUGGAAACCAGCCCAUGCACACGCACAUGUGUUGAGAUGCAAGGCAACGAGGCCAAAAACAUCAAGAUGUAAAUUUAACACCUACGACUGAGUCAAUCUUCUUCCACAUCAACGCCUUCAAGAUAAGCCGGAGCCGUCCACUCGUAUCUCGUAGCGGUAAGAGACAAAUAAAUCACUUUUUCUUGCACUUCCCUGGGAUGGUUGAUCACUGUGGUCUGCCAUUUCAUCUACUGGAUUGAUGACCCAUCAUACAUCGCACUGAUGUUGAUGAUGAUAGUAGAGAUGCAUGCAGCCAUGGAAAAAAGGGUUCCUACUUUUGAUCAUGUUUGGCCGCAACAGGCACCUAGGGGCUAGGGCAUCCUGAAUGAUACCUCAUACAGGUCUAGAAGGCAGGGGAAAGAAAGAAAGAAGGCGAGAAAAGGGCAACAUCAGGAUCAGGUGGCGACGUGCAAGUCUGGCGCUGCCAAAUACCCAAAGUACAGAGUGGUUGGCAUGAGUGCCAGAAACAAAAUGGAAUUUAUCAGGCCUGCCUCCACGACAAUGCUACGUUGAUGCUAACUCGAUCCCGCGUCCACAUUAGCCGGUAUCUCUCCGGCAUGGCCCGUAUCUUUAUGGCAUGACACUGACAACGUCCCUCGCAAUCGCAAGAUCUCUGAGGACUCUGGAGUUUCUGAUGGGGAUAAGCUGGUGGAUUGAUUGGGCAACUAAUCGCAAGGACGGGGACCGGCAGAGGAUACUUCAGACGUCAAAGAAAAAAGAAGAACACCGGUGGAGGGAGUGAAGUUGCGGAAGGGAGGAGAUCAUCAAGAAGCUGUUAGUGAUGAAAAAAGACGACAUAAAAUUGAUGCAUGAGAUGAGAGGAGUAUCAUCGAAGAACACCGGUGGAGUGAAGUUGCACAAGGGGGGAGGUCAUCAAGAAGCUGUUAGUAAUGAGAAAAGACGACCUAAAAUUGAUGCAUGAGAGGAGUAUCAUCGGUACUUUCUUUCUUCUUUGAUCUUCAAUAUGAUUUAACAAGUAUAGCAAUGGAAGAAUCAAGGAAACCCCGGAAGAAUGAUACUAAUCAGAAAGACCUGCUGAUACCGAAGGGCAGUGUUAGCCAUCGCAGCAUUCUCAUAACUAGAAAGCUAAUGUUAACCAGCACUGCCACAUUAAUAUCUUAAACAGAUAGAUUAAUAUCUGAGUCAGAAAAUGAACCACCAAGAAGGAUUUCUUAAUCUCUGAACCAGAAGAUUUUUCUGCUGUUAGUCCCGGACGUCUCACUGUCCAAUCAAGCAUUUCUCAUUUUGCAUGAUGUUAUAGUGAGAUUACCAUUGUUGGAAAAUUUUGUUGUUGAUUCUGCUGGCCUUUCAUUAUAGACACUGCGUAGUUGCUGCCCUGCAUAAUUGCCUGGGAAAUCUUUGAUUGGUUUCUAGUCUUCAAUGCACAGAGAAAUGCAGAGUAUAGACUGGUAUAUCCAACAACAAAAUUAUUGCUGUUCUAUUAAACAGUCUUUGGCUUAUUGCCCAACACCCAUUCACUGAAAUUUGUUUUACACUCGUCUGAUAUUGUAAUGUUCAGCAGCGGCGGAGCUUCAUGGGGGCCAUCCCCCCCCCGCCCCC
Triticum urartu is the source of this 2472-nucleotide long non-coding RNA. RefSeq lists it as uncharacterized. The record is from RefSeq and is a predicted model, not a curated record. Lineage: Eukaryota; Viridiplantae; Streptophyta; Magnoliopsida; Poales; Poaceae.